Molecule: non-coding RNA, 3254 nt
Organism: Salvia hispanica
Lineage: Eukaryota; Viridiplantae; Streptophyta; Magnoliopsida; Lamiales; Lamiaceae
Source: RefSeq, a predicted model, not a curated record
GGUUCCUCUUCCCUCUUUGUGUCUUUGCUCUUGUUAUUCAGGAAGAGAGGCAGUGACACAUUGAUGGGUAAGCUUCUCUUCUCCUAUAUCUGCUCCUGCUCAUAUUCCUGUUCCUAUUGAGCAGCCGUUUGCUAACGUUGUUGCUUCUCAUGGACGAGGCAUGAAUAAAUUCCACUGUUCUCAUUGUGGUAAAAUUAAUAAUCCUGUGGAAUUUUGUUUUCCUACAUGGUUUUCCUCCGGGUUUUGGCAAAGGCAGAGGGAAGGCACCUCAAUCUGCUGCCCUUAUUCUGGAAAUGCAGCAUAGAUCUGUUAAUUUGGUGGAGGAGACAAUAUCUGCUACUCCUUUGCCCUUGUCUUCAUCUACUGCUGUGAAUCUACCUAGUAGUAUCAACAUUUAUCAGUCUUUUGUAGAGCCAGCACCUCCAUAACUCCACUUCUUUGGCUAGGGACUCUACCUCUGACAGUCACUCCCAACCAUUAAACAAUUUUUCUGGAAGCUAUACGGGGGACUGUGAUUAGGAGGGGUAACCGUGUUGGCAACUUAUACAUCUUUGAGUUCUCAGAUUCACCAAGUAAUGCAGUAUGCAGUUUUCCCUCUACUUCUCACAAUAAUGUAUUUGCCGUUUCUCAUGCUAUUUCUGUUAACUCAGUUGUAAGUCUUGAUGUUUGGCACCAACGUUUGGGCCAUUCUUCUCUAAAUAAACUCAAAGUUUUUGUCUCAAUUAUUAUCUCCUACAAACACCCAGCUCACAAAUUGCCAGAUAUGUCCUUUAGCAAAACAGAAAAAGCUUUCUUCUCCAGUUUCAGAAUCCAAGUCAUUUGCUACACACACAAUGGAUUCAGAUAUUUCCUAACCAUUGUGGAUGAUUUCUCACGUUUUGUAUGGACUUUUCUCCUCACAGAAAAAUCAGAGAUCCAUACAGUCAUGACACAGUUUUUCUCAACUGUUCACACUCAAUUGUCUAAGAAAAUCAAGGUCAUACGAAGUGAUAAUGCCCCAGAGUUUAAUCUCACCUCUUUACUCUCAUCUUAUGGGACUAUCACUCAACAUUCUUGUGUAGAAACACCACAACAUAAUGCAAGAGUGGAGAGAAAACACCAACAUCUUCUCAAUGUAGCAAGAAGCCUUAUGUUCCAAUCACAUUUUUCAGUUGAAUUUCGGGGGGAAGGUGUGCUCACUACUUCUUUCCUCAUAAAUAGAACUCCAUCAUCUGUGCUUCCAGACAAUUUGACUCCAUUCCAAGCUCUUUUUGGUAAAAUUCCUACUUACUCCAAUCUGAAAGUGUUUGGUUGACUUUGCUUUGCUUCCACAUUGGAUAAGAGCAAGCACAAGUUCACUCCAAGAGCUAAAAAAUGCUUAUUUCUUGGUUAUCCUCCUGGUUAUAAAGGGAACAAAGUCAUGAACCUGGACACGCAUGAGAUUUUUAUCAGUAGAAAUGUGACCUUUCAUGAGUCAGAAUUUCCUCUUGCACACCAGUCACCUUCUCACUUUCCUACUGAUAUAUUUCUCAUCGUCCUGAUACAUCUUUCUCUCAUAUCAUUCCUCAAAAUACUUCCCAUACUCCAGAUUCUACCUCUACUUCAUAUCAGUUAAAAUCUGGAAGAACUAUAAACACUCCUACACACCUUUCUGAUUACAUUUGUACUUCAGUAACUUCCACCUCCAAAUACCCAAUCUCUUGACUAUUUUUCUUAAGCCAAGCUAUCACAACCUUAUCUCAGAUUCAUCAUUCUUCUUUCCAUUCUUACUGAACCAUCCACCUAUAAGCAAGCAUCACAACAUCCAGAGUGGUGUUGACUAUGCAAGAUGAACUUCUGGCUCUGAUAAGGACUGAUACAUGGUUGAUCACUUUCCUACCUCUUGGAAAGAUUCCUAUUGUAAAUGGGUUUACAAGAUAAAGUUCAAGGCCGAUGCUACUGUAGAAAGGUAUUUACAAGAUAAAGUUCAAGGCCGAUGCUACUGUAGAAAGGUAUAAAACUCGUUUGAUGGCUAAGGGCUUCACUCAACAGGGGUUGAUUUUCAUGAUACCUUCUCACCUGUUGCAAAAUUCACCACAGUGAAGUUAAUAUUAGCAUUGGCAGCAAUACAAGGUUGGAAAUUAGCUCAUCUUGACAUCAACAAUGCCUUUUUGUAUGGUGAUCUAGAGGAGGAGAUAUACAUGACUCCACCUCCUGGUUUGGUAAAAUCCACCAGUUGGAUCUGGUCAGCUGGUUCGAAAACUCAAGAAGUCUUUAUAUGACCUUAAGCAGGCUUCAAGAAAGUGGUAUCUAAAAUUCUAUCAAGUUCUGGCUGGUUUUGGUCUGAUUCAAUCUGCUUCUGAUCAUUCCUAUUUUUACAAAUAUUCAACAGAUGGGAAGUCUUUGGAGUAGUUAUCUAUGUUGAUGACAUUUUGGUUUCUAGUAGUGAGAAUGAUCUGAAUACUUCAAGACAUUUCUACAAGCUCACUUCAAAUUCAAAGAUAUGGAUUCUACCAAGUCUCUACAUCAAGAUGCAGGGGAUCCACUUCCAGACCCCACUCCUUAUAGAAGAUUGAUAGGCCGCCUUGUGUAUCUUUGUAUCACACGGCCUGAUAUCACUUUUGCUGUAAACAAGCUUAGCCAAUUUCUAUCAAAACCAUGCUCGGAUCACAGGCUUGCUGAUGAGAGAGUUCUAAGAUAUCUGAAAGGUACUUUGAGCAUUUUUUCUGAUGCGGUCGAUACAAGAAGAUUAAUCUAUGGUUUUUGCUUAUUCCUUGGCUCUUCUCUGAUUUCUUGGCGUUCGAAGAAGCAACAUACAGUCUCCAGAUCUUGCUUGUUGUGAAGUGGUGUGGAUUGUUGCCUUACUCAAGGGACUUUGGAUUGGAGGUGACCAGUUCCUCUAUAUUGUGAUAGUCAGGCGGCGGUUCAUAUUAGUUCCAACCUUGUUUUCCAUGAACGUACUAAGCAUAUAGAGGUUGAUUGUCAUACAGUUCGAGACAAGAUACUUGAGGGUGUGAUCAGAACAGUCCAUGUUAGCAACACUCUACAGCUUGCUGAUAUCUUCACUAAGCCCUUGGCUGCUAAAAUUUUGCUGUCCAAGAUGGACUUCACAAUUGUUUAUAGUCCAUAUUGAGGGGGCCUAUUAGAAUAAGGCAUAAAAUAUAAUCAGUCAUGAAAUGCUAUACUUGCCGAUACUUGAGCUAAAUUAGUUUUGAGGUUUUUAUUGUAUCACCAUUAUAAGGUGAUGGCUUUUCUGUAUUGAUUUCAUUAGGGAAUGACAUUCUUUUCCUCCCGCA